UCCCACUCCAAUCAGAAUAUACACGGCUGGGAAGAGAAGACAGGGCAGAUGCAGGACCUUCAACAUCUAACCUACCACGUUUUCACUUCGUUUUGCAUGGUGACUCAAUCCUUCACCUCUUGCUUCUGCAAAGCUCAAUUUAGGCCCUCCUCCCCACUCCUCUGCCGUAAGUGACCACAUCCUCUGCCAUGGCAACCAGUCCCUCAUGGCCAGCACAAGCCACAGGAGAUACUGCUGUUCCAGAGGACAACUCUGUUGAGGAUGCGCAACAAGAACUCCUAGCUCCUCUGAGGAUGCUGUUGCUAAGAUGGCAUCAUCUCCCCGCAGGCGAACUACAUUCCCUUGCCACCAACUUUACAUUAGAGUUCAACAGGAGCCAUAAUAACUAAUGAUGAGAAAGACAUGCUAGUUCUCUUAGAUGAGCAACAAUAAUGCAGAAAACAAAGAAAGUGAACCCAAGGGCAAGUGAACAUUUCAAUCGAAAAAUAUACUGACCAUGUUGCCUUCUAAUAGGCCAAAAUAGUCUGAUCUUGGCCUAAGUGUUGCUUUGGAAUUGGUUUCAGUUAAGCUGAAACUGCAAACUGCCCUGUUUUGCCUUUUGUUUUCAAAUCAAAUGAAGGAGACUUUCUCAGGAAAGGGGUUUGUGGAACGGCGGCAAAGAAAGUUUCCACAGUUCCAUCAAGGCUGAAGAAGGACUUCUGACACUUUACACUCUGGUUUAAUUAAAACCCAGGGGAGAUGGCAGAGAGAGUUGUUGUUUUCCUUCAUACAACAUGAAGGAAAGGAGACUAAAAAUGAGUCCACUGUGAGUCUAAAGGCAGAGAGAAUCAAUAUACCUAUAUAUAUACCUAUAGAGCACCACACAGACAGAAAACAUUUUGGUCUAUGUAAAAACUUCUUGUGCACUUCAGAUAUAUAGCCCUGCCCUGCAAACAACUUGAGAGACUUUAUUGAUGAUCUCAGCAAUAAACAAAUUCAGUGGGCUUUAUCUGUGAGAAGACCUCCACUACAAACACACAACACUCUCGAAGGCACCAGCUGUUUUGUUGUUGCAACAUUCUCAUCUGUCUCCUGGCAGGAAUGAUGCAGACAAGGAUUUACGUCACAAUGUAGCCUAAGACUCUUUGUAACAGUCUGAAACAGCCUAUUCCGGCCCUCAACAUCCCACAGAUAAAUGGGUGAAAAAGAGGUGAACUGUUAAAGCUUUUGUGUGUACCCAAUGACACACCUCCUGACUAGCCCUAUGACAUACCCUUUAUGGGAUCCUAUGGUGUGCCCUAUGAUCCUCCCCACUGUAUCCACCACUCCCCCUUGCAGUUCUCAACAGGCAGGCUGUACCAGUCUCACAGGCCUUUCGUAAGUCCGGCUGGAAUCCUCCAUGCCUUGGUACUGACCCCACAACACCCCUCUGAAAACCAAAUGACCCUCACCAUAUCAAAAAAAUGUGUUUGUAAUAUUGUGAAAAAAAGGUAAUAUUGUA
Electrophorus electricus (electric eel) is the source of this 1480-nucleotide non-coding RNA. Lineage: Eukaryota; Metazoa; Chordata; Actinopteri; Gymnotiformes; Gymnotidae. The record is from RefSeq and is a predicted model, not a curated record.